AACGGUUUAAGUUAAUUAAACUAAUAUCCUUCAAAGUUAUAAAUAAAGAGGUUAUUUUUAAGCGUUA
This 67-nucleotide transfer RNA is filed under the name Schultesia lampyridiformis. RNAcentral's name for it is "tRNA-Trp". The record is from RNAcentral. Lineage: Eukaryota; Metazoa; Arthropoda; Insecta; Blattodea; Blaberidae.